CAGCCGCCGCGGUAAUACGUAGGGUGCGAGCGUUAAUCGGAAUUACUGGGCGUAAAGCGUGCGCAGGCGGUUGUGUAAGACAGGUGUGAAAUCCCCGGGCUUAACCUGGGAACUGCGCUUGUGACUGCACAGCUAGAGUAUGGCAGAGGGGGGUGGAAUUCCACGUGUAGCAGUGAAAUGCGUAGAGAUGUGGAGGAACACCGAUGGCGAAGGCAGCCCCCUGGGCCAAUACUGACGCUCAUGCACGAAAGCGUGGGGAGCAAACAGGAUUAGAUACCCGUGUAGUCCCUGUCUCUUAUAA
Molecule: ribosomal RNA, 301 nt
Filed under: uncultured bacterium
Lineage: Bacteria
Description: partial 16S ribosomal RNA
Rfam family: Bacterial small subunit ribosomal RNA
Source: RNAcentral